AAAUUGAAGAGUUUGAUCAUGGCUCAGAUUGAACGCUGGCGGCAGGCCUAACACAUGCAAGUCGAACGGUAACAGAAAGCAGCUUGCUGCUUUGCUGACGAGUGGCGGACGGGUGAGUAAUGUCUGGGAAACUGCCUGAUGGAGGGGGAUAACUACUGGAAACGGUGGCUAAUACCGCAUAACGUCGCAAGACCAAAGAGGGGGACCUUCGGGCCUCUUGCCAUCAGAUGUGCCCAGAUGGGAUUAGC
RNAcentral lists this ribosomal RNA (248 nucleotides) under Salmonella enterica. Its description in RNAcentral is "partial 16S ribosomal RNA". It matches the Rfam family "Bacterial small subunit ribosomal RNA", at positions 1 to 245 of the family's 1533-position model. Lineage: Bacteria; Pseudomonadati; Pseudomonadota; Gammaproteobacteria; Enterobacterales; Enterobacteriaceae. The record is from RNAcentral.